Molecule: long non-coding RNA, 1300 nt
Filed under: Cottoperca gobio
Lineage: Eukaryota; Metazoa; Chordata; Actinopteri; Perciformes; Bovichtidae
Description: lncRNA (ENSCGOG00000014990.1)
Source: RNAcentral
UUAUAAGCGAGAACAGCGAACUUUAUGUGACCUGCACCACAUUUGGGCUCAAGAAACAGAUCCUGGUUUAUGUUUAUUUAUGUAAGGAUGACCUUUGGAUCGAUAACAAGAUACAGAGGGAAGAACAAAGUGACACCCUCUUCACCGUGCACAGAGUCGGUCUUAAUCACAGUGGAAGCUACAGCUGUGUUUACUCCUUAAGGAAUGAUUUGCUUCCCAAAGUAGCGAAGAGAGGACACAACAUCAUUGAGAUUCUGGUUGUAUGUAAGGAUUUUUCAUCCCUAUGAAAGCAUUGUGUCAACGUUAUUUCUCUCCACUCAUUUGUCCUUUCUGCCGCACAGCCAAUUUUCUCCCCGCAGAUAUUUCAGUAGCUGGGCCGUCCACUGUCGGCGAGGGAGACGAUGUUACAUUCAGAUGUACUGCUUCUGACACCCUGCAAACAAUUGAUGAAUGUCAACUCAUCCACUCUUACCUGAGGAAGAAUGACAGCAUCCUCCAAGUGCAGACAUUUCAUGUCACCCGGAGGGAGGCCAUUUUCACCAUCGAAGGUGCCGUCAUGAGGGAUUCGGGCGAUUACAGCUGCGUGGUGCUGCCAUCUAAAUGCAUCCAAGAGCAUGAGAAAACACUCUAUGGAAAUAACACAGUAGUGCUCAAGGUCAAAGGAAAUAUGGACUUUAGGAUGAUUAUCACGUGUGGAGUGAUAACCCUGAUGUUGUUACUGGGUCUGGGUCUGUGGUGGAUCAACAAACGAGGUCAGUUGAUCAGAAGGAAAUCGAAAGGAAAAUCACUCACAUUUUGCAGUGUAUAGUACGAUCAUUCACUGACACACGAAACAAAAUAUCUGUUAUUACUAUUCAGAUCUAAUUUAUAUUCUGUACGACACAGGCUUGUCACACCAACCCCAUUGCAACCUUCAUCAUACAGUAUGCAUGCUUUAUUAUACUCUAAAAUGUUUGUUUUUCCCCCUAUUUCAGCUGGCCACUAUUUGUCCAAGUCAUUGUGAGUUUUGUAUCAUUGAUGUUGUCUUUAAAAGCAUUCUUUAACCUAUGAGCAGAUAAGCAGAGAGUCAUGUAGAUUUCACUUUUCAUUGCUGUGUUCAGUGAUUUGUGCUCAAAUAAAAAUGUUUGAUGUAAUGCAGGAUGUUUACAGUGAAUUAAAACAUGCUGGCUACACAACUGAAUCUGUCAGUGCUGAGUUGAUUAAAGGGCUGAUUGUGUUUUCUUACAGUGUGGCGAGUCUGCAGGCCGACAUGGUGGAGGAACAGCAGGUGCAGACAGAGGGGGAGGAUCUGGAAGCACAA